Molecule: ribosomal RNA, 497 nt
Filed under: uncultured bacterium
Lineage: Bacteria
Description: partial 16S ribosomal RNA
Rfam family: Bacterial small subunit ribosomal RNA
Source: RNAcentral
GAUGAACGCUGGCGGCGUGCCUAAUACAUGCAAGUCGACCGAACGGACGAGAAGCUUGCUUCUCUGAUGUUAGCGGCGGACGGGUGAGUAACACGUGGAUAACCUACCUAUAAGACUGGGAUAACUUCGGGAAACCGGAGCUAAUACCGGAUAAUAUUUUGAACCGCAUGGUUCAAAAGUGAAAGACGGUCUUGCUGUCACUUAUAGAUGGAUCCGCGCUGCAUUAGCUAGUUGGUAAGGUAACGGCUUACCAAGGCAACGAUGCAUAGCCGACCUGAGAGGGUGAUCAGCCACACUGGAACUGAGACACGGUCCAGACUCCUACGGGAGGCAGCAGUAGGGAAUCUUCCGCAAUGGGCGAAAGCCUGACGGAGCAACGCCGCGUGAGUGAUGAAGGUCUUCGGAUCGUAAAACUCUGUUAUUAGGGAAGAACAUAUGUGUAAGUAACUGUGCACAUCUUGACGGUACCUAAUCAGAAAGCCACGGCUAACUACGUG